This 942-nucleotide long non-coding RNA is filed under the name Elaeis guineensis (African oil palm). Its description in RNAcentral is "long non-coding RNA (EGUI_LNC017831)". Lineage: Eukaryota; Viridiplantae; Streptophyta; Magnoliopsida; Arecales; Arecaceae. The record is from RNAcentral.
UAUCUAUAUAUAUAUAUAUGUCUAUAUAUAUAUAUAUCUGUGUGUGUGUGUGUGUGUACAUAUAUAUAUGUGUGUGUGUAUAUAUAUGUGUGUGUGUAUAUAUGUAUAUAUAUGUGUAUAUAUGUAUAUAUAUGCGUAUAUAUGUGUAUAUAUGUGUGUGUGUGUGUGUGUGUGUCUGUGUGUGUGUUUGUGUAUUUACGAGUUAUGGAUUGAUAAAAACAUAGUUUACAAUAUUUCAAAGAGGUGGGGUGAUCAUGUAUCUGCAGAAAAGUACUCUAUCAAGUUGAGGUCUUCGAUUGAAUCGUGUUAUCCUUUCAUUUUCUUUUCCUUUUCUCUUUUUGUGAAAUACGAUGGGAAUGCCACCACCAAUGUUUAGACCUUGGACCUCUCCUGAGAGAGUUUUUGGUAGAAGGUUUGCCACAUAAUGGACCCAAGUCCUAUUGCUGAAUAGUGUUCCUCUUAUUUGCUAUCCUAAGUAGACAAAUCGACGUAAGUGUUUCUAUUGUAGUUCAAGGCAUCUUUGUAACUGAAAAUGUAAAAUUCUUGAAGGGAGAUAUGCUCAUCUUUGAUGAAAGUAGAAAAUAAUUUUGGUUUCAGGGAGAUUGUUUCUGACAACCUUGACUAUUGGUAGAUAUAUUGAUUUAACACCAUUUAAAUGUGAUCAAUGGGUUUGUUUUGCACCACGAAAAUAACGUUUGGACAUUGGAUCCUCAUUGAUAGAUUUGAAGGAAAAAAAUCCAUCAAGAUUCUUUUGGGCAUAGCUGCAAAUUACACAAUUUUGAUUUAGUACAUAUGAAGACACAAUCACUCAUUUUACAUGGGCAUAGCAGAAGCUCUCAAGAAACAAUAAAAUAAUCUACAUUUUCCACUAUAAUUUUUAUGUUUAGACAAUUCAGUCGUGAGCCCGGAAAGAUUAUUCUUAUCACAUAUGUAUAUUCAGAG